This 478-nucleotide ribosomal RNA is filed under the name uncultured bacterium. RNAcentral describes it as "partial 16S ribosomal RNA". It matches the Rfam family "Bacterial small subunit ribosomal RNA", at positions 28 to 523 of the family's 1533-position model. The record is from RNAcentral.
GACGAACGCUGGCGGCGUGCUUAACACAUGCAAGUCGAACGGUAAGGCCCUUCGGGGUACACGAGUGGCGAACGGGUGAGUAACACGUGGGUGAUCUGCCCUACACUUCGGGAUAAGCCUGGGAAACUGGGUCUAAUACCGGAUAGGACCACUGCCUGCAUGGGUGGUGGUGGAAAGCUUUUGCGGUGUGGGAUGGGCCCGCGGCCUAUCAGCUUGUUGGUGGGGUGAUGGCCUUCCAAGGCGACGACGGGUAGCCGGCCUGAGGGGGUAACCGGCCACGCUGGGACUGAGAUACGGCGCAGGCUCCUGCGGGAGGCAGCAGUGGGGAAUAUUGCACAAUGGGCGGGAGGCUGAUGCAGCGACGCCGCGUGAGGGAUGCCGGCAUGCGGGUUGGAAACCUCUUUCAGCACCGACGAAGCGCAAGUGACGGUAGGUGCAGAAGAAGGACCGGCCAACUACGUGCCAGCCGCCGCAGUAA